RNAcentral lists this ribosomal RNA (200 nucleotides) under uncultured bacterium. RNAcentral describes it as "partial 16S ribosomal RNA". It matches the Rfam family "Bacterial small subunit ribosomal RNA", at positions 8 to 219 of the family's 1533-position model. The record is from RNAcentral.
AGAGUUUGAUCCUGGCUCAGAACGAACGCUUGCGGCGCGCCUAAUACAUGCAAGUCGAACGAGGUAGCAAUACCAAGUGGCGCACGGGUGAGUAACGCGUGGAUAAUCUGCCCUUCAGUGGGGAAUAACCAUCCGAAAGGAUGGCUAAUACCGCAUGAGACCACAGUUUCCGAGGAAACAGGGGUUAAAGAUUUAUCGCU